Molecule: ribosomal RNA, 506 nt
Filed under: bacterium A4T_VP6_F2
Lineage: Bacteria
Description: bacterial SSU rRNA
Rfam family: Bacterial small subunit ribosomal RNA
Source: RNAcentral
UAAUACGGGAGGCAGCAGUGGGGAAUAUUGCACAAUGGGCGCAAGCCUGAUGCAGCCAUGCCGCGUGUGUGAAGAAGGCCUUCGGGUUGUAAAGCACUUUCAGUCGUGAGGAAGGUGGUGUAGUUAAUAGCUGCAUUAUUUGACGUUAGCGACAGAAGAAGCACCGGCUAACUCCGUGCCAGCAGCCGCGGUAAUACGGAGGGUGCGAGCGUUAAUCGGAAUUACUGGGCGUAAAGCGCAUGCAGGUGGUUUGUUAAGUCAAAUGUGAAAGCCCGGGGCUCAACCUCGGAAUAGCAUUUGAAACUGGCAGACUAAAGUACUGUAGAGGGGGGUAGAAUUUCAUGUGUAGCGGUGAAAUGCGUAAAAAUCUGAAGGAAUACCGGUGGCGAAAGCGGCCCCCUGGACAGAUACUGACACUCCAAUGCGAAAGCGUGGGGAGCAAACAGGAUUAAAUACCCUGGUAGUCCCCCCCCAAAACAAAUCCUACUGGAAGGUGUGGCCUUGAG